This 253-nucleotide ribosomal RNA is filed under the name uncultured bacterium. Its description in RNAcentral is "partial 16S ribosomal RNA". It matches the Rfam family "Bacterial small subunit ribosomal RNA", at positions 524 to 776 of the family's 1533-position model. The record is from RNAcentral.
UACGUAGGGUGCGAGCGUUAAUCGGAAUUACUGGGCGUAAAGCGUGCGCAGGCGGUUUUGUAAGCCAGAUGUGAAAUCCCCGGGCUUAACCUGGGAAUGGCAUUUGGGACUGCAAGGCUUGAGUGCGGCAGAGGAGACUGGAAUUCCUGGUGUAGCAGUGAAAUGCGUAGAGAUCGGGAGGAACACCAGUGGCGAAGGCGGCUACCUGGACCAGCAUUGACACUCAGGCACGAAAGCGUGGGGAGCAAACAGG